CUCCCUCCGACGAUAUUGGCACUGCCGUAUGAAAAUCUUAAUCGGUGCCGGCGCAUCUACGGAUGGUAGCUGCGACAGUUUUAUAGCUUGUGGCUGUAGGACGCGAUCUCCAAUUCACCGCACCCGCGCUGCCUACCGGGACCUCAUCCCGGUCCACGCCAUGCCGUGCGUGCACCGCGGGGGCGUCCCCCAAUCAGGUGCGCGAGCCCCAACCCAAACUCCACCUUCCCAUGAUCAGCUACCACUACCACACCAACAAGCACUGGUGGCACAACACGGUUACCAUUUGCAUCCGCUUGCGCCUGCUGCUAAGGUCCUGGUGCAGGUCCAGUGGCAUGUAGCGGAUAAAUUCCCCAGUCCGGAGACUCUAGAUGAAGAGAUGGACACCUGCUCAGGCGAUCUGGUACUCGCGCGCAUAAGGCGUUCGACGGAAUGCAGCAGAGGGAUGUGGUUCAUUUUGACCUGCUAAAUUAUCACCAGCGAGUGCGAGCCAGACUGGUCGAUAUAGAUUCAGAGAAAGGAAGAAGAUAUCCAGUGCUUGAAGAUUUGGUCAGCGUGUAAGAAAGGUGAGAAGAAAAGCUGGGAAGGGUGAGAGGAAGAAGGGAUCUAGAAAAUGACAGGUUAUCCAUAUGAUGGCAUACUGGGUUCAGCUAUGGGCCUUCCUUUCGCCAGAGGGACAGCGGGAUGUCAUGGCUUCUGGAUGCACACGGCUUCAGACGGUCGCUCAGGAUAUCUUGUGCCAGGCUGGCUGACGACAUACUAGGAGGCUACAGUGAUGUGUAGUGCUACUAUGUUUUAUUUGUUUCGCUGGUUGAUUCUUGUAUCAACUGUAGGCGAUGAUUGAGCUGUAAGACUUGUAAGACUAAAUAUUAAAGUUUUUUUAAUAAAAGGCCGUGUGCAUCAUCAUGAUGCAGAAGCCGGGGUUACACUCUC
Long non-coding RNA from Lolium perenne, 933 nucleotides. RefSeq lists it as uncharacterized. Lineage: Eukaryota; Viridiplantae; Streptophyta; Magnoliopsida; Poales; Poaceae. The record is from RefSeq and is a predicted model, not a curated record.